Punica granatum (pomegranate) is the source of this 2174-nucleotide non-coding RNA. Lineage: Eukaryota; Viridiplantae; Streptophyta; Magnoliopsida; Myrtales; Lythraceae. The record is from RefSeq and is a predicted model, not a curated record.
AGGCAACCCGUAAUUAGAUUCAAACUCAAGCCUGACUUGAAGUUGACCAAUCCAAUCCCACGUGCUGUCCUGAUCUGAACUUGAGCUCAUCCACGGAAGCUUUGCUCAAAAAUCCGGACCUUUUCUUGCUCACCUCUCCGUCUGCAUUCAGUCGAUCAUUUCCGAUUUACCCAAACAGAUACAUAGAGAGAGAUUCGUAUAGUGUUUUCACAUGGCUUUGAGCUCGUGGCUCUCCCGCCUCCGCUACUCCUCGAGGGCCGCCUUCCUUAGCAGCUCCCGCGCCGGCCGUCCACAUUCCAUCGGCCUCCGCGCUCCCUCUUCCCGUCCUCCUCCUUAUCAGUGUCGAGGCGCAAACAACCAGGUCGUUGCUCCUUCGAGAUAUCACGGCAGCUCGGAAGAACCGUUCCUACUGUGGCCGAGGGCUCUGCUUCCGGUGGCGGUUGCCGCGUCAGCUGCAUCGAUGGCGCUUCAGUCUCAGGCGAAUCCCUCACUCUGCGAUGAUUCCAGACAAGUCCGAUUUGGAGGCAAAGGGAGCACUGAGUUCGUGGUGAAGGGCAAUCAUAAGGAAGUUCCAAGACAGCUUAUUGAUGAACUCAGUACAAUCUGCGGAGAAGACAUGACUCUUGAUUAUGACGAGAGGGCUUUUCACGGGAAACCACAGAACAGUUUCCAUAAAGCUGUUAACAUUCCAGAUGUGGUCGUCUUCCCCAGGUCAGAAGAACAAGUUUCCAAGAUAGUUCAGUCUUGUAAUAAACGCAAGGUUCCUAUCGUGCCUUAUGGUGGAGCCACAUCAAUUGAAGGUCACACUUUAUCUCCCAACGGUGGUGUUUGUAUAGAUAUGUCAUUGAUGAACAAGGUUAAAGCUUUACAUGUGGAGGACAUGGAUGUGGUUGUUGAACCUGGCAUUGGGUGGAUGGAGCUCAAUGAAUACCUCGAGCCUUAUGGUUUAUUCUUUCCUCUUGAUCCAGGACCUGGUGCAACCAUUGGGGGUAUGUGUGCCACUCGAUGCUCUGGUUCUCUGGCUGUAAGGUAUGGCACUAUGCGUGACAAUGUCAUCAAUCUCAAGGUGGUUCUUCCUGAUGGAGAUGUUGUCAAGACAGCGUCUCGUGCACGAAAGAGUGCUGCCGGGUAUGAUUUGACUCGCCUGAUUAUCGGAAGUGAAGGAACCUUGGGUGUGAUAACAGAGGUCACUCUACGACUUCAGAAACUUCCGCAGCAUUCAGUGGUUGCUAUGUGUAACUUCCCAACUAUUAAGGAUGCUGCAGAUGUCGCCAUCGCCACUAUGCUCUCUGGAAUUCAGGUAUCAAGGGUGGAGCUGUUGGACGAGGUUCAAGUGAAAGCCAUUAAUCUUGCUAAUGGGAAGAAUCUACCUGAAGUUCCAACAUUGAUGUUUGAAUUCAUUGGCACAGAGGCAUACUCACGAGAGCAAACACAGAUUGUCCAGAAGAUUGUUUCUGAGCACAAUGGCUCGGAUUUUGUAUUUGCAGAAGACCCUGAAGCAAAGAAGGAACUUUGGAAGAUAAGAAAGGAGGCACUCUGGGCUUGCUUUGCUAUGGAGCCCAACUUUGAGGCAAUGAUUACGGAUGUAUGUGUUCCCCUCUCACACCUAGCUGAACUGAUAUCAAGGUCCAAGGAAGAGCUCAAUGCAUCACCCUUGGUCUGCACCGUUAUUGCUCAUGCUGGGGAUGGGAACUUCCACACAGUUGUUCUCUUCAAUCCUGACCAAGAAGAUCAAAGGCGCGAAGCAGAAAGACUUAAUCAUUUUAUGGUCCACACAGCCUUGUCAAUGGAAGCUGAAUGAGAGACUUGUCGAUCAAGAAGAUCCUCGUGCUAAAAUAUUCCUGGUUGAGCAGGAACAUGUACUGGCGAGCAUGGUGUUGGCACCGGGAAGAUGAAGUAUCUCGAGAAGGAGCUAGGGAUAGAGAACUUGAGGACGAUGAGAAGGAUCAAACAAGCCCUGGAUCCGAACAAUAUCAUGAACCCGGGAAAGCUGAUCCCUCCACACAUAUGCUUCUGAGAUCCCUUCACAUACAAAGUGUAAGUCCUUUUCAAUAAACGACUACGAAUUCUUAUGCCAUCUCCGGUUCAGCCGAAUUUUAAAAGGGCUACAAUGUAUCUGUACACCACUGAUUGUCUUGUCAAAAAUAAAAUGUCAAAAAAUUGAGAUUAAUGAA